CAGCAGAAGCCUUACAAGCCAGUAGAGAUUAGGGGCCUAUUUUUAGCCUCCUUACAGAAUAAAAAAAACCUACACCAAAAAGAAAGCUUUCAAAUUAAAAGCCUAACAUCACACAUCAAGGAACUAGAAAAACAAAAACAACAACAAAAAACCUCAAAGCCAGCAGCAGAAAAAAAAAAUAACAAAGUGAGAGAAGAACUAAAUGAAAUUGAGACCAAAAAAAUACAAAUACAAAGGAUUAAUGACUACAAAUAUAUAAUAACCAGAACAAAAAGACUAGUAUCAAGAAUAUAUAAGGAACUCAAACAAUUCAACAAGAAAAAACCAAAUAACCCCAUUAAAAAGUAGGCAAAGGUUGUGAACCUUCAGAAGCUUCUCAAAAGAAGACAUACAAGUGGCCAAUAAAUAUAUAAAAAAUGCACAGCAUCACUAAUUUUCAGAGAAACAGAAUUAAAGUCAUAUAAAAUAUCAUCUCACAUCAGUUAGAGUGCCUAUUAUUAAAAAGUCAAACAGAUGUUGGCAUGGAUGUGGAGAAAAGGGAAUGCAUAUUCACUGUUGAUGGGACUGUAAAUUAGUUCAAUCUCUAUUGAAAACAGCAUAGAGAUUUCUCAAAGAAGUAAAAAUAAAACUACUAUUCAACCCAGCAAACUUACUAUUAGGUAUCUAUGCAAAGAAAAAGAAAUAGUUUUAUCAAAAAGACCCCCGCACUCAUAUGUUUAUUGCAGCACUAUUCACAACAGCAAAGUCAUGAAAUCAACCUACAUGUCCAUCAACGGUACGUUGAAUAAAGGUAACAUAGUACAAAUACACCAUGGAAUACUAUGCAGCCAUAGAAAAGAAUAAAAUUAUGAUCUUUACAGAAACAUGAACGGAGCUGGAGGCCAUUAUCCUAAGUGAAAUAACUCAGAAAGAGAAAAUAAAAUAUGAUACGGUUUGACUCUGUGUCUCCACCCAAAUCUCAUCUUUAAUUGUAAUCCUCAUUAUCCCCACAUGUCAAGGGAGGGACCUGGUUGGAGGUGAUUGGAUCAUGGAGGCAGUUUUCCCAAUGCCUUUCUUGUGAUAGUCAGUGUGUUCUCAUGAGAUCUGAUGGUUUUAUAAGUGUUUGACAGUUCCUCCUUCACACUUGCUCCUCUUUCUCUGCUGCCACCCUGUAAGAGGUG
Molecule: long non-coding RNA, 1160 nt
Filed under: Homo sapiens (human)
Lineage: Eukaryota; Metazoa; Chordata; Mammalia; Primates; Hominidae
Description: non-protein coding lnc-DEK-3:1
Source: RNAcentral